ACUUGGGGCCACUGAGGAUUACUGGGGGCUACUGGGGGGCUACUGGGGGUUACUGGGGGUUACUGGGGAUCACUGGGGGCUACUGAAGGCUACCGGGGGCUACUGAGGGAGCACUGGGGGCUACUGGGGGCCACUAGGGCUGCAUGGGGCCGUCCCCAUUGGGGUCCUCCAUGUCCCAUUGGGGUCUCCAUGUCCCUUUGGGGUCUCCGUGUCCCCAUAUGUCCCCAUGGAUCCCCAUUGAGUUCCUCCAUGUCCCCAUGGGUCCCAUUGGGGUCCCCAUGUCCCCAUAUGUCCCCAUGGGUCCCAUUGGGGUCUUCAUGUCCCACUGACGUCCCCAUGGAUCCCAUUGGGGUCUCCAUGUCCCACUGAUGUCCCCAUGGGUCCCACUGAGGUCCUCCACGUCCCCACGUCAUCGAUCACUCUUUUAUUGAACACCUCCUACAAAAAGCCCCCCAUAAUCCCCCCCAUCCCUCCCAUAUCCCCCCAAAGACCCCCCCAGCCCCCCAAUCACUCCCACUGAGCAAUGGCCGCCAUCAUGGCCACCCCGGCCAGCAGCGCGGCCAGCUGCAGCAGGGACUGCAUGGGGACGUCCUCUCGGAGCAGCUGGGGGAGGACGGCCACCGUCCCCACGUAGAUGAAGCCCCCCGCCGUGAAGGGGAGGAUCCAGCGCGUGGCUGCGGCCCCCACCCCUUCGGCCAGCAGGGAACAGCCCGCGCCCCCCACCGCCCCCAGGGCGGUCAGCAGCUGCAGGCGCAUCGCCUGGCGGGGGGCAAUGAGAUGGGGGCCCGACUGCACCAAGAUGGCGAGGUCGCCGACCUCGUGCGGGACCUCGUGGAGGAGCACCGUCAACGCCGUCACCGUCCCGACGGCCGGGCCGGCCACGAAGGACGCCCCGAUGGCCAAACCGUCCGUCACGUUGUGAGCCACGUCGGCUGCCAGGUUCAGGUAGCCAGAAACCUGCAUGGCUGCGGGGUGGAGGGGACAACGGGGUCCACAGUGGUGGCCAAAAUGGCGGCCCCAAUGGUGGCCCGAUAGUGACCCCAGUGGUGGCCCCAGUGGUGACUCCGAUGGUGGCCCGAUAGUGACCCCUGUGGUGGUCCCGAUGGUGGCCCGAUAGUGACCCCAA
RNAcentral lists this long non-coding RNA (1126 nucleotides) under Phasianus colchicus (ring-necked pheasant). RNAcentral's name for it is "lncRNA (ENSPCLG00000017168.1)". The record is from RNAcentral. Lineage: Eukaryota; Metazoa; Chordata; Aves; Galliformes; Phasianidae.